UCUCCUACGGGGGGCAGCAGUGGGGAAUAUUGCACAAUGGGGGAAACCCUGAUGCAGCAACGCCGCGUGGGUGAAGAAGUAUUUCGGUAUGUAAAGCCCUAUCAGCAGGGAAGAGAAUGACGGUACCUGACUAAGAAGCCCCGGCUAACUGCGUGCCAGCAGCCGCGGUAAUACGUAGGGGGCAAGCGUUAUCCGGAAUCACUGGGUGUAAAGGGAGCGUAGACGGCUGAGCAAGCCUGAAGUGAAAGGCGGGGGCCCAACCCCCGGACUGCUUUGGGAACUGUACGGCUGGAGUGCAGGAGAGG
Molecule: ribosomal RNA, 305 nt
Filed under: uncultured bacterium
Lineage: Bacteria
Description: bacterial SSU rRNA
Rfam family: Bacterial small subunit ribosomal RNA
Source: RNAcentral